UAAAACGUAGGAGGCGAGCGUUAUCCGGAGUUACUGGGCGUAAAGGGCGCGCAGGUGGUAGGGUAAGUGUGGCGUGAAAGCUCCUGGCUAAACUAGGAGAGGUCGAAACAGACUGCCCAACUAGAGAGUGAUAGAAGUACGCGGAAUUCGGGGUGUAGCGGUGAAAUGUGUAGAGAUCCCGAGGAACACCAGUGGUGAAAACGGCGUACUGGGUCAUAUCUGACACUGAGGCGCGAAAGCUUGGGGAGCGAACGGGAUUAGAGACCCCGGUAGUCCAAGCCGUAAACGAUGCUUGCUGGAUGUCCACCUGUCGAAAGGCAGGGGGGUGUCGAAGCUAACGCGAUAAGCAAGCCGCCUGGGGAGUACGGUCGCAAGGCUA
RNAcentral lists this ribosomal RNA (379 nucleotides) under uncultured bacterium. RNAcentral's name for it is "bacterial SSU rRNA". It matches the Rfam family "Bacterial small subunit ribosomal RNA", at positions 521 to 896 of the family's 1533-position model. The record is from RNAcentral.